GAAACAGCCCAAGUGUCAGAGCAAAGAUGCUGAAGUUGGCCUUUCCAUGACUCAAGAUCUGAAAGAUGAACUUUAAUUUCCCCUAACCCAGGAGAGAGGCAGCUGCUUGUGGAAAACUGUUUCUGUACCUACCUACUUCUGAGAAAACUUCAAGAAAAAACAUCAAAGCAUUAAAACCGCAGGACACAGAUAACCUGAAGGAAAGGGAAGGUAGAGAUGUUCAGCGCUGAUAACAGUCAAAUAGGCAAUGACUGGCUCACAGCUCCCUGGAGACUCCAGGAGAACAGGAAAAAAGGGUUCUUAUCCAUGCUGUGGGGCUACAGAACGGUGGUGGGGUUUUUGUGUUUUUUUUUUUUUUUUUGAGAGCUUACAAAUUAAUCCACUUCUGUAAAAAAUUUUCCUAGCACUAAAUUCAAGCAGGAAUUGACCACACAGAUUCUUGUGAAAGGGCGGAUGGCCCAGAGAACAACACUGUCGUGUAUCAUUCUCUAAGAGAGAAAUUCUGUUCAAAUAGAUCACUCCCCCUCUAUAGAAACCUCUAAUUGGUCAUUGAAUAAAGGUGUUUUUGAGGUUCUGUAAUCCUAAUGGUAAGAACACAAACAAAAAAUUACUACUCUAUGUUUUUAAAAAUGCAAGUUGCUAUUUUCUUUAAUACUGGGCUGUUUUAUACAUUUUAAACCUAGAGGGAAAUGCCAGCCUGCUUUUCAUCACAUUUCUAG
Long non-coding RNA from Bos taurus (domestic cattle), 719 nucleotides. NCBI's taxonomy places the organism in Eukaryota, Metazoa, Chordata, Mammalia, Artiodactyla, Bovidae. The record is from Ensembl.